This 442-nucleotide ribosomal RNA is filed under the name uncultured bacterium. RNAcentral's name for it is "partial 16S ribosomal RNA". It matches the Rfam family "Bacterial small subunit ribosomal RNA", at positions 338 to 795 of the family's 1533-position model. The record is from RNAcentral.
CCUACGGGAGGCAGCAGUGGGGAAUAUUGGGCAAUGGGCGCAAGCCUGACCCAGCAACGCCGCGUGAAGGAAGAAGGCUCUCGGGUUGUAAACCUCUUUUGUCAGGGAAGUGUAGAAGACGGUACCUGACGAAUAAUCCACGGCUAACUACGUGCCAGCAGCCGCGGUCAUACGUAGGUGGCAAGCGAUGUCCGGAUUUACUGGGUGAAAAGGGAGCGUAGACGGCAGCGCAAGUCUGGAGUGAAAUGCCGGGGCGCAACCCCGGAACUGCGCUGGAAACUGUGAGGCUGGAGUGCAGGAGAGGUAAGCGGAAUUCCUGGUGUAGCGGUGAAAUGCGUAGAUAUCAGGAAGAACACCGACGGCGAAGGCGGCUUACUGGACUGUAACUGACGUUGAGGCUCGAAGGUGUGGGGAGCAAACAGGAUUAGAUACCCCGGUAGUC